UAUAUGUACAUAUGUGUAUGUAUGCA
Molecule: non-coding RNA, 26 nt
Filed under: Rattus norvegicus (Norway rat)
Lineage: Eukaryota; Metazoa; Chordata; Mammalia; Rodentia; Muridae
Source: RNAcentral